This 1000-nucleotide long non-coding RNA is filed under the name Physcomitrium patens. RNAcentral's name for it is "long non-coding RNA (PPAT_LNC009766)". Lineage: Eukaryota; Viridiplantae; Streptophyta; Bryopsida; Funariales; Funariaceae. The record is from RNAcentral.
UUAACAACCAUAAUCAAGCAUCAAUUAAUUCUAAUUAUUAUUUUUAUUUUUUAUUUAUUUUUUAUUUAAUUUAUUUUUAUUUUUGAAAUAAAUUAUAAAAAAAACACAAGAAAAUCUUAAAAAUUCCAAAGAAAUCUUAAAGAAAUCCAAAUCAAACUUUAAACCAAAUCAAAUUCUAAUCUUAAUCAAAGCUUAAUCCUAAUCAAAUCCUAAUCCUAAUAAAAAUCUAAAACCUAAUCAAAUCCUAAUCCCAAUAAAAUUCUAAUCAAAUCCUAAAUAAGUCCUAAUUAAAUCCUAAUCAAACCUUAGUCAAAUCCUAAUAAAAUUCUAAUCAAAUCCUAAAUAAAUCCUAAUUUUAACCAAAUCUUAAAUCAAUCCAAAAUCCUAAUCCUAACUCUAAACUGAAUCCUAAUCAAUUCCAAGUAAUUCCAAAAAUAGAUUUAAAUAUUAAUAACUAAUAAAAAAAUUAAUUUCAACUCAAAUUUUGCACAAUUCUUAAUAAUUAAGUUGAAAUCAAAUAAAAAAAAAAAUUGAAAAAAAUCAAAAUGACCAAAUAGACAAAAACUCAAAAAUGUACUCAAAUAUUGGCUAGCCUCCUUCUCUGACCUUGAUAUCAAACUUCUAGAGCCAAUUACUCCUGAUUGAACCAUUACUUUGCUUCCAAAAUUUACAUACUUGUUAGAAAUCAACUUGACUACCUUUGUGAAAAAAUUUACUUCAAUCUAACUAGCAGAUUGACAGAUAUCUAAGAAAAACUUAUUAGUCUUUAAAAUACUAAAUUUGAGACUAUAAUCCACAAAAACUUUCAUACUUUUCAAUCUAACUAUCCAAUCAAAUCCAAAUUCAUAAUACACAUCUAGCACAAUUAUAUCCACAAACCCUAAUAUUUUUACUUGUAGAUCUAUUACCAAACUCUUGAAAUUGCCCAAAAUGUCAACCCUAUUUUGUUUUCCAAAAAAUCAAAGUCACUAAAAAUAAUAUCAACUUUGCUGUACUCUUG